GAAUCUCAGGGGUUUUAGAAACACACAAAGAAUAUAAAAUAUUCAAGAAAACACUCCAGAAUCAAAGGGCAUGAGUUUCAGAUUGAAAGGGCCACCAAGGGACCAACACAAUAGGUAUAUCACUGUGAAACUUCUUAACACUGGGGACAAAGGAAUCCUACAAGGUCACACACAAAGAAGGCUCUGGCCUUAACAGCAGCCCUGGAAGCUUGAAGACAAUGGAGCCACGCUAUCAAAGUUCUGAGACAAAGUGACUUCUUAUCUAGAAUUCCACACUUCAUCAAUCAAGGGUUGGACAUUUUCAGACAUGCAAGCUUUCAAAAUAUUUCCCUCUCAUGAACUCUCGGGAAGCUCCUGGAGAAUGUAUGUCAUCAAAAACAGGGAAGAAAGCAAGAAAUGAGAAGACACAGGAAAGAGUGGAAACUAGAGAGUUUCUGCUUCAAGAUGUUGAAACGGAGACUCCAAGAGGAUGGUUUCUGAGCGUGAGUCCUAGCGUCAGCUACCAUCAGCAGCAGCAGCACAGCACGGAGCCAGAUCUCGGGCGCAGACACUCAUGGAGAGGCCACAGUUUAAUCAGCAAGCUGAGGCAAACCGUGUUUCAGGAGAAUUCACAAUAUAAGUAUGUGGGCCACCAGCACAGCAUGGCUGCUAACAGAGUGGUGUAGAUCUACACCCAGGAACUGAACCCAGGCUGCCGAGGUGGAGCGCACUGAACUUAACCACUAGGCCACCGGGGCUGGCCCAUAAACAAGUAUAUUUUAAUCAUAUAUCUUUUUUUUAAAUAUAAUUGGAAGAAGUGACAUUCUGUUCUGGACUCUGCUUUAUUUCCCUUACUAAAAUAUCUCAUGUUGUUGCAUAUCAGCAUAUGUAGAUCUAUUUCAUUCUUUUCUGCUCCUGCAUAGAUUUCUAUUGU
Molecule: long non-coding RNA, 913 nt
Filed under: Equus asinus (donkey)
Lineage: Eukaryota; Metazoa; Chordata; Mammalia; Perissodactyla; Equidae
Description: lncRNA (ENSEASG00005024803.1)
Source: RNAcentral